RNAcentral lists this ribosomal RNA (534 nucleotides) under uncultured bacterium. RNAcentral describes it as "bacterial SSU rRNA". It matches the Rfam family "Bacterial small subunit ribosomal RNA", at positions 370 to 896 of the family's 1533-position model. The record is from RNAcentral.
AAUGGGGGCUDCCGUGAUCCAGCAAUGCCGCGUGUGUGAAGAAGGCCUGCGGGUUGUAAAGCACUUUCGGCUGGGAAGAAAAGUCCGGCGUUAACACCGCCGGGCCUUGACGUUACCGGCAGAAGAAGCACCGGCCAACUCUGUGCCAGCAGCCGCGGUAAUACAGAGGGUGCAAGCGUUAAUCGGAAUCACUGGGCGUAAAGCGUGCGUAGGUGGUCAAGCAAGUCGGUUGUGAAAUCCCCGGGCUUAACCUGGGAACCGCAGUCGAUACUACUUGGCUGGAGUAUGGUAGAGGGAAGUGGAAUUUCCGGUGUAGCGGUGAAAUGCGUAGAUAUCGGAAGGAACACCAAUGGCGAAGGCAGCUUCCUGGACCAAUACUGACACUGAGGCACGAAAGCGUGGGGAGCAAACAGGAUUAGAUACCCUGGUAGUCCACGCCCUAAACGAUGAGAACUAGCCGUUGGGGGAAUUAAAUCUCCUAGUGGCGCASUAACGCGUUAAGUUCUCCGCCUGGGGRGUACGGCCGCAAGGUUA